Molecule: ribosomal RNA, 433 nt
Filed under: uncultured bacterium
Lineage: Bacteria
Description: partial 16S ribosomal RNA
Rfam family: Bacterial small subunit ribosomal RNA
Source: RNAcentral
AACGAACGCUGGCGGCAUGCCUAACACAUGCAAGUCGAACGAGACCUUCGGGUCUAGUGGCGCACGGGUGCGUAACACGUGGGAAUCUGCCCUUUGCUUCGGAAUAACAGUUAGAAAUGACUGCUAAUACCGGAUGAUGUCGAAAGACCAAAGAUUUAUCGGCAAAGGAUGAGCCCGCGUAGGAUUAGGUAGUUGGUGGGGUAAAGGCCUACCAAGCCGACGAUCCUUAGCUGGUCUGAGAGGAUGAUCAGCCACACUGGGACUGAGACACGGCCCAGACUCCUACGGGAGGCAGCAGUGGGGAAUAUUGGACAAUGGGCGAAAGCCUGAUCCAGCAAUGCCGCGUGAGUGAUGAAGGCCUUAGGGUUGUAAAGCUCUUUUACCAGGGAUGAUAAUGACAGUACCUGGAGAAUAAGCUCCGGCUAACUCUGUG